This 1238-nucleotide long non-coding RNA is filed under the name Triticum aestivum (bread wheat). RNAcentral's name for it is "long non-coding RNA (TAES_LNC024646)". The record is from RNAcentral. Lineage: Eukaryota; Viridiplantae; Streptophyta; Magnoliopsida; Poales; Poaceae.
AUAAAUAUAAUAAAUUUUAAAGAAAGAAACAUAACAUCACAUAGAAGGUAAUGCGGAAAUGUUUGUUUUACAUGUGAAAGAGAUAAAUUAGGGUAAAGUAGCAAGAGUUUCAAGCUGAACAACUAUCUCAUCAAGCUAAAAAGACUGUCAUGAUAUGCUCUCAAGACUCAGCUGUAUCCUUGUCGUCACUGUGAUUCUGGGAUGAAAUAGCAUCAUUUGAACUCGAAGAACCCACCUAAAACAUCAGUAAAGAUCAAUACACAAGGCACUGAUAUUUCCAUAACAAGACACCACUAGUCAGGGAAAACCUUUUCCCAUUAGGAAUAAAAAUAAUGAAUAAAUCCUAACAAUUGCCUUUUUCUGAGAAAAAGAAGGCACACAACUAGGAUUAUUUUGUCAUUAAUUUUGAAUUCAACAUGUCAAACUAAGAAAAGAAGAGCAAAUGCAAAUUUUCGGAUGAAUGGUAUCAGUGAAGUUUACAAUCGAUUCAGGUUUCCUUCUUUUAAUAUUCUUUGUUAUGUAACUCUAUUUAUGUUGCUUUAUCUCAUGUUUAUAUGUGUAUAAUAUUGAGCAAAUUGCAUGAAAGCAACCCAAUCUACUUGUAGUUCCAUGCUCAACUAGUGCAGCUAUACUGAACUGGUCAUCUUUCACAAAGCAAACCAACAAUGUAUAAGCAAGAAGUGCAGAAAAAACAUGUUAUUUAAUGAUUAAAUGCUAAACUACGUAGCAAGACCUAUAUUAGUGUAAGUUCUUAAUUCACCCUAUGAAAGUGUGAAUCUAUAAAUUAAUAUAAGAAUCAUGACAUGUAGUGUUUUGCAACAAUGCUACAUUUAAAGUAUUUACAAUAUUAAGUAGCUAUUUCUCGUGCGAUGUCAAAUAACUUGAGUAUUAACAACCUCAGUAACAACACAACAAACUCAAUAGCUAGGCAACUUGCACAUGUAGCAUAAAGAACAUAAGUACACACAUGGGUGUAUUUUUUGGUGAAACAUAGUUUUACUUCAACAGAAGUAAUUUAUAUGUAUAAAUGAAUUAGAAAUAAUUAAUUUGUGUACAUUUCAAGGUAAUAUUAUUUGCUUAAAUGCCUAAUAGAGUAGAUUAGGAAAGUGGUAACAAGCACAAGGAAGCUAAAGUGGAAAUGAAUAAUAAUAAAAUUUGAUCAAAUGUAAAAAUUACCUUAUAUUGUAUAGCAAUCUCCGUCAUACGAACGAUCCUCCCAAUUUCCUCAUUCAUAGCCU